AAUAAGUCAUGAGAAUGUGUAACGUUGAGAAUAUAAUCAAUAACAUUGUAUUAAUUUUGUAUGGUGACAGAUACUAGACUUUUUAUGGUGACCAUUUUGCAAUGCACACAAGUGUAGAAUCAGUAUGUUGUGCUCUUGAAACUAAUAUAGUAUUGUAUGUGAAUUAAAUCCCAAUAAAAACAAAAUUUUGAGAGAAGCCUAGAGGUUUACCUAAAUUAUUAACUAAUUUAAAUCUCUAUUUCUAUUUUGCUGCAGGAGGAAAUCCACUUGUAGUGUCUCAGCCCAUGGACCAAUGUCAUAUUGACUGAAUAAAACAAUUUGGCUUGGAGGGAGUUUGAUACAUGCUGGAUGAGAAAAAGUGUCUAAGCAGCGUUGAGGAACCAGGCAGAGUAGGAUCAACACUGUUUUCUUGUGGCACCUCUUGAGCCAUUCAGUGGUUCUCAAAUAUCCAACAAGGUGCUGGUGCUGGUUCCCAAAGAGCACAUCUUAGUCAUGUGAGGCAUCUGUCAACUAUCGGGGAUUCCAGGUGAGAGGUAAGUUGAAAACAAAAACCUUUUG
RNAcentral lists this long non-coding RNA (558 nucleotides) under Felis catus (domestic cat). RNAcentral's name for it is "lncRNA (ENSFCAG00000047918.1)". The record is from RNAcentral. Lineage: Eukaryota; Metazoa; Chordata; Mammalia; Carnivora; Felidae.